CCGCCAGACUCCUACGGGAGGCAGCAGUGAGGAAUAUUGGUCAAUGGUCGGGAGACUGAACCAGCCAAGCCGCGUGAGGGAGGAAGGUACAGAGUAUCGUAAACCUCUUUUGUCAGGGAACAAAGGCGGGGACGUGUCCCCGGAUGAGUGUACCUGAAGAAAAAGCAUCGGCUAACUCCGUGCCAGCAGCCGCGGUAAUACGGAGGAUGCGAGCGUUAUCCGGAUUUAUUGGGUUUAAAGGGUGCGUAGGCGGGAGAUCAAGUCAGCGGUAAAAAUGCGGGGCCCAACCCCGUCGAGCCGUUGAAACUGGCAGUCUCGAGUUGGAGAGAAGUACGCGGAAUGCGCGGUGUAGCGGUGAAAUGCUUAGAUAUCGCGCAGAACCCCGAUUGCGAAGGCAGCGUACCGGCUCCACACUGACGCUGAGGCACGAAAGCGUGGGUAUCGAACAGGAUUAGAUACCCCGGUAA
This 467-nucleotide ribosomal RNA is filed under the name uncultured bacterium. RNAcentral describes it as "bacterial SSU rRNA". It matches the Rfam family "Bacterial small subunit ribosomal RNA", at positions 328 to 793 of the family's 1533-position model. The record is from RNAcentral.